This 494-nucleotide long non-coding RNA is filed under the name Olea europaea subsp. europaea. The record is from RNAcentral. Lineage: Eukaryota; Viridiplantae; Streptophyta; Magnoliopsida; Lamiales; Oleaceae.
GAUCCGUUCAUUCCUUUUUUCCUAAUAGAUGGUCAAAAAUUUAUCUGAUUUCAAAUCUUGAUGAGAGGGCUACAAGAGAUCAGAAAUUGUUGAAGAAACAACAAAAUCUUUCUUUCGUCCCUUCUAGGAGAUCGAAAAGUAAAGAUAUAGUUAAUAUAUUUAAGAUAAUUACGUAAUAACAAAUUACUAUCUCAAUUCAUACUAUCUCGUCAAAUCUAGCAUGUAACAGGGUUCCGAAUGAUAAACCAAACUUGACCAUUCCAAUAUGAUUUCAUUCUUGAACAAAAAUCCAUUUUUUGAUUUAUUUCAUCUAUUUUAUAAUCAGAAAGGCAAGGAUAUACUAAACACCAUGAUUUUUUAUUUGAAGAGAGAUUUCAAGAAAUGGCAAUCUAUUCGCCCUAUCAAUAACCGAGCCAGAUCUAGCGUAUCAUAAGGGAUUUACCUUUUCUAUUGAUUCCUACGGAUUGGAUCAACGAUAAACAGACACUACGUAA